CAGAAAACCUUUUUCUCACCAGUAAACAUAAAAUCUUUGCAACAGAAGUUUCUAGUGUGUAAGCACACGUCCAUUCUUCCUAACGUGUGUUGGUGAUAAAGGCACUUAGCACCUGUGAUAUGAUGAAGUUACAGUCUAUUCAUUUUCUAUCUGUGAUAGCUCUGUUGUAUCACUCACAAUGAUUUUCAGUUCUGCUAUCAGAAGCAAGUCAACUGUUACUCUGGCAACAACUGGAUAUUUCAAACUAUCAUCUUGAUUGCAAAUGAAUGAAUUGCACACUGCAGUUGGAGACACUUUGUACAUUUUACAGAAAAUAUGGCUGGUGGGAGAAAAUAGAAUGAGAAGACUUAUCCCUACAGCCCCAUUUUAAUAAGGGUUAUUAAUAUUUUAUUAUUUUAUGGUACCUUAUUUUAUUAAGCUAUACAUAAUCUUCAGUAGAUUCCUUUCAAAAUAUUAACUGUAUAUGGUAGUUUAAAACAUAUUUUCACAUGAUAUUUAACUAUAAAAUAUAGGCACCAUUUUAAAGAUAAAUAUAAAUGUACUAGUAUGAAAAGAAUACUAUUCUUUUUCCAAGUUAUUACCUUCAAAGGCUACAAAAUUACUUCUAUGAUAUCACAAUUCAAAUAUGUGCAAUGAUCAGCCUUUAAAACAUUCUAAGAUAGAAUUGGCCACUAACAUCUUAGGUGAACACCUUUCCUAUCUAUGACACUUCUGGAGAUGUCACAAACCUGUAAUGUGACUUCACCAUGCUGUCAGGUUGAGCAUCUGGCUAGUUGUAAGCAGUCUCUGUGUGGGUUAAAGUAGCUUUAGAAGAUUUCCACCUUCUGCUGCUAAGGGUCUGUUGGUCUUUGUAAUUGGCUUUUUGGUUUCACAUAAUAAGUGAUUUUAGUGUAUGAGAUUUGCUGCCACAAGGUCCUCUUGCCCAAGGUCAUCUUCCAGAGUUUUCCAGGGUUAAAAAGUCGAGCCUUACUCAUCAAUCUCCACAAACCACCACCAGCUAUCUCCUUGCUUUCCUUAAGGACUGCAGCAGGCUAACACAUUAACCAAGCACUUAAUAAUGGUAGUCUGCAAACCACUAAGCCAAAGAUCGUCAGCUUAUUUCCAGGAUGUGAAGACUAUCAUUCAGAUCCUCCCUUCUUAAGCUAACUUCCCAAGCCCCACUCUUCUGCACCCUCCACAUUCGUAUACACUCCAUGUGAAAGGCUGCAGCUCCUCUGAUCAAGAGGUACACGCUAUUUUCCAACUCCACAAAUUUGGCUUGAGCCUGGAACUCACUUUGGCCAAUGAGACUAUAGCAAGUACGAUGCAGUGGCCUGAACAGCACUUAUGUAAAAGGA
Molecule: long non-coding RNA, 1337 nt
Organism: Chinchilla lanigera (long-tailed chinchilla)
Lineage: Eukaryota; Metazoa; Chordata; Mammalia; Rodentia; Chinchillidae
Exons: 3
Source: RefSeq, a predicted model, not a curated record